Molecule: ribosomal RNA, 443 nt
Filed under: uncultured bacterium
Lineage: Bacteria
Description: partial 16S ribosomal RNA
Rfam family: Bacterial small subunit ribosomal RNA
Source: RNAcentral
CCUACGGGCGGCAGCAGUGGGGAAUAUUGGGCAAUGGGCGCAAGCCUGACCCAGCAACGCCGCGUGAAGGAAGAAGGCUUUCGGGUUGUAAACUUCCUUUCUGAGGGACGAAGAAAGUGACGGUACCUCAGGAAUAAGCCAUGGCUAACUACGUGCCAGCAGCCGCGGUACUACGGAGGUGGCAAGCGUUAUCCGGAUUUCAUGGGUGGAACGGGCGUUGAGGCGGGAAAGCAAGUCAGAUGGGAAAACUCAGGGCUCAACCCUGAUCCUGCAUUUGAAACUGGUUUUCUUGAGUGCAGGAGAGGCAAUCGGAAUUCCGUGUGUAGCUGUGAAAUGCGUAGAUAUACGGAGGAACACCAGUGGCGAAGGCGGAUUGCUGGACAGUAACUGACGCUGAGGCGCGAAAGCGUGGGGAGCAAACAGGAUUAGAUACCCGGGUAGUC